AAGAUAUUAGUAAAAUGAAUAUUACACCACCUUGUCAAGAUGGAACUGCAGGUUAAAUCCCUGCAUAUCUUA
Molecule: transfer RNA, 72 nt
Filed under: Osteochilus melanopleura
Lineage: Eukaryota; Metazoa; Chordata; Actinopteri; Cypriniformes; Cyprinidae
Description: tRNA-Asp
Rfam family: tRNA
About the family: Transfer RNA (tRNA) molecules are approximately 80 nucleotides in length. Their secondary structure includes four short double-helical elements and three loops (D, anti-codon, and T loops).
Source: RNAcentral